RNAcentral lists this ribosomal RNA (255 nucleotides) under uncultured bacterium. Its description in RNAcentral is "partial 16S ribosomal RNA". It matches the Rfam family "Bacterial small subunit ribosomal RNA", at positions 98 to 354 of the family's 1533-position model. The record is from RNAcentral.
CCCGAAGGGUGAGUAAUACAUCGGAACGUGUCCGCUCGUGGGGGACAACCAGCCGAAAGGUUGGCUAAUACCGCAUGAGUUCUACGGAAGAAAGAGGGGGACCCGCAAGGGCCUCUCGCGAGCGGAGCGGCCGAUGACUGAUUAGCCUGUUGGUGAGGUAACGGCUCACCAAAGCAACGAUCAGUAGCUGGUCUGAGAGGACGACCAGCCACACUGGGACUGAGACACGGCCCAGACUCCUACGGAAGGCAGCAG